RNAcentral lists this unclassified non-coding RNA (234 nucleotides) under Hevea brasiliensis (rubber tree). Lineage: Eukaryota; Viridiplantae; Streptophyta; Magnoliopsida; Malpighiales; Euphorbiaceae. The record is from RNAcentral.
UUGGUUACGUUUGGAUUUGGUGGAAAGCUUGUAGUAAUGAAAGAUGGUGGUUCAAGUUCUCUGGGGAACACAUCAUUUGGAAGUCAGGCACCUGUAGGAGGCUCAAUAUCUGUUCUGAAUUUGAUGGAGGUUAUAUCGGGAAAUACCAACAAUGCUACAAAUAUUAGAGGGAGCACUUGUAAUUAUUUUCGUGCUCUCUGGCAACAAUCAUUUCCAGGUCCACUGGUGGGAGGC